GAAGCUGGCGGCAGGCUUAACACAUGCAAGUCGAACGAUAUAGUGGCAGACGGGUGAGUAACGCGUGGGAACGUACCUUUCACUACGGAAUAGCUCUUGGAAACGAGUGGUAAUACCGUAUACGCCCUCCGGGGGAAAGAUUUAUCGGUGAAAGAUCGGCCCGCGUUAGAUUAGCUAGUUGGUAGGGUAAUGGCCUACCAAGGCGACGAUCUAUAGCUGGUCUGAGAGGAUGAUCAGCCACACUGGGACUGAGACACGGCCCAGACUCCUACGGGAGGCAGCAGUGGGGAAUCUUGCACAAUGGGCGAAAGCCUGAUGCAGCCAUGCCGCGUGAAUGAUGAAGGCCUUAGGGUUGUAAAAUUCUUUCGCUAGGGAUGAUAAUGACAGUACCUAGUAAAGAAGCCCCGGCUAACUUCGUGCCAGCAGCCGCGGUAAUACGAAGGGGGCUAGCGUUGUUCGGAAUUACUGGGCGUAAAGCGCACGUAGGCGGACUUUUAAGUCAGGUGUGAAAUCCCAGGGCUCAACCCUGGAACUGCAUUUGAAACUGGAAGUCUAGAGACCAGGAGAGGUUAGCGGAAUACCGAGUGUAGAGGUGAAAUUCGUAGAUAUUCGGUGGAACACCAGUGGCGAAGGCGGCUAACUGGACUGGUACUGACGCUGAGGUGCGAAAGUGUGGGGAGCAAACAGGAUUAGAUACCCUGGUAGUCCACACCGUAAACGAUGAGAGCUAUUUGUUGGCAGGCAUGCCUGUCAGUGACCCACCUAACGCAUUAAGCUCUCCGCCUGGGGAGUACGGCCGCAAGGUUAA
RNAcentral lists this ribosomal RNA (808 nucleotides) under Hyphomonas sp. MH168. RNAcentral describes it as "bacterial SSU rRNA". It matches the Rfam family "Bacterial small subunit ribosomal RNA", at positions 32 to 897 of the family's 1533-position model. Lineage: Bacteria; Pseudomonadati; Pseudomonadota; Alphaproteobacteria; Hyphomonadales; Hyphomonadaceae. The record is from RNAcentral.